RNAcentral lists this transfer RNA (89 nucleotides) under Planctomycetales bacterium. RNAcentral's name for it is "tRNA-Ser". It matches the Rfam family "tRNA". Rfam says of the family: Transfer RNA (tRNA) molecules are approximately 80 nucleotides in length. Their secondary structure includes four short double-helical elements and three loops (D, anti-codon, and T loops). The record is from RNAcentral. Lineage: Bacteria; Pseudomonadati; Planctomycetota; Planctomycetia; Planctomycetales.
GGAGAGGUGGCUGAGUGGUCGAUAGCACUUCAUUGCUAAUGAAGCGUUCGGGUCAAACUGAACCGCAGGUUCGAAUCCUGUCCUCUCCG